AGAGUUUGAUCAUGGCUCAGGACGAACGCUGGCGGCGUGCUUAACACAUGCAAGUCGAGCGGAAAGGCCCUUCGGGGUACUCGAGCGGCGAACGGGUGAGUAACACGUGAGCAACCUGCCCCUGGCUCUGGGAUAGCUCCGGGAAACCGGGAUUAAUACCGGAUAUGACCUGCUUACGCAUGUUUGCGGGUGGAAAGUUUUUCGGCUGGGGAUGGGCUCGCGGCCUAUCAGCUUGUUGGUGGGGUGAUGGCCUACCAAGGCGACGACGGGUAGCCGGCCUGAGAGGGCGGGCGGCCACACUGGGACUGAGACACGGCCCAGACUCCUACGGGAGGCAGCAGUGGGGAAUAUUGCGCAAUGGGCGGAAGCCUGACGCAGCGACGCCGCGUGGGGGAUGAAGGCCUUCGGGUUGUAAACCUCUUUCACCAGGGGCGAAGCGAAAGUGACGGUACCUGGAGAAGAAGCGCCGGCUAACUACGUGCCAGCAGCCGCGGUAAUACGUAGGGCGCAAGCGUUGUCCGGAAUUAUUGGGCGUAAAGAGCUCGUAGGCGGCCAGUUGCGUCUGCUGUGAAAUCCCGGGGCUUAACCCUGGGCGUGCAGUGGAUACGGGCUGGCUGGAGGCAGGCAGGGGAGAAUGGAAUUCCCGGUGUAGCGGUGAAGUGCGCAGAUAUCGGGAGGAACACCGGUGGCGAAGGCGGUUCUCUGGGCCUGUUCUGACGCUGAGGAGCGAAAGCGUGGGGAGCGAACAGGAUUAGAUACCCCCGUAGUCC
RNAcentral lists this ribosomal RNA (770 nucleotides) under uncultured bacterium. Its description in RNAcentral is "bacterial SSU rRNA". It matches the Rfam family "Bacterial small subunit ribosomal RNA", at positions 8 to 796 of the family's 1533-position model. The record is from RNAcentral.